ACGACCUUACUUGAACAGGAUCUGUUCUAUAGGCUCGUACUACUGUAUCCUUGAUUUCAAAGGAGACAGGAACUCAAGUCUGGAUGAAGAAAUGAGACCGCACGAUCAGAGCGUGACUAACGGCUGAGAUGCUUAUCAAGCUGAUACUUCAUCUUGUGCUGUAGAUGAUCGUUCUCGGACAGUGCAAGCUGUGCGGGGUGGUCGUGCGGUGAUAUGACAGACU
This is a small nucleolar RNA of Vicia villosa (hairy vetch), 223 nucleotides long. RefSeq annotates it as small nucleolar RNA U3. The record is from RefSeq and is a predicted model, not a curated record. The transcript has a single exon. Lineage: Eukaryota; Viridiplantae; Streptophyta; Magnoliopsida; Fabales; Fabaceae.